AUUGCUCUCGGCCGUUCGCUCCUCGCCCGGCGGCGUCUGGCCAUUGCUCGGGCAGGAGAGCGGGGCAGCGCCUGUCCCGGGGGCCCCUGCUCCCCCCGGGCAUUGCCACCGUAUGCUCAGAGCGGGGCAUCCGCCAGCAGCAGGUCCGGCUCUUGGGGUGACUUGUUAAGGGGGGAAGAUGCUUCCUCGAUAGAGGUUUCCUAACAUGAGAAGAGGAAUGAGAAGAGAGAGGUUGAAGCCUGAGGCAGGAGCCAUUGCUGUCCAGAGGAUGCAAGGAGAAAGGGGUGGUAAGUGGUAGUAAUGGGCUUCCACACAGAUGACUCUCCCUGUAUGCCUCCCCCAUAAAAAACUCAACACAAAACACCCCAAACUAUAUGGAUUACUAGCAUCCAGGCAUUUUGGUUCAAAGUCACCAGCAGCUUCUGCAGUGGACUGGAGAAGCAACCCUCCAAUCUAUAAAUGAAAAGGGUAACUGCACAUUCCAAGAUCUACAAAGGUACUUAGGCACCCAAGUCCCUUUUUUAGGUGCCACUGCAAUCCACAAAAUUCCUGCUUGGCUACCACCUAAACUUGUAGAUGCCUAAAUUUACUUGGCACCUAAUUUUUUUCCUCUGGGCAUGAGCAUGACAGCCUCACUCUGUGUGCCCAGGCACCUACCUCCUGCAUAAGCCCCAGAGAGAGUAAGUCACAAACUGAGAACAACAGUUGUUCAGCUGCUCCAGAUGCAUGCAGGGGCCUGCCUACUAGAUUAUGCUCCUCAGGCAAGUUCAUACAGAGCAGCUGGGGAGGGGGGAAAGAGAGAGGAGUCUUUACCCUAUAUAAUCUUUACCUUAGUUGUUAGGGUACUCACCCAUCCAGGAUGUGGGAGACCCCCAGCUUAACAGGGAUCUGCUACCUCUUAGGUGAGUGCUGCAACCACCAGGCUAUAGAGUCAUUCUUACUCUUAAACAUUAGUUGGGCUAGAUAAAGUAUAACAUUGUUUAAUCAAAGUGGAACAACUUCAGUAGCAGAGAUUGAAAGAGACCCACAUCAGACUAUCCCAUAGCCCACAGUGGCUAGGGCACUCAUCUGAGAGGUGGCAGAUCCCUUUUUAAAUAUCUUCUCCCCUUCAGGAGGACAUGGUACUUGAUCUGGGGGUCUCCACAUCCUGGGCGAGUAAUCUAACCACCUGACUAAAGAUCAUAAUAGAGCUUCCUCUCCCCCCCCAGCUGUUUUGUUUCAGGUCCUGCACACAACUUAAGUGGCCAAGGAUCUAUCUUCCCCCACAUUAUGGAUCACUAGCAGAUCUAGGCGCCUCUUUCCGAGGAGGGGUGCUUUUCUCACACCCCUCUGAUCAAUGUCUCCCACUGGCUAGCUUAGGCAGCUCCCUUGUAGCUUGCAUUCUGAUGUGCCUGUCUCUCCACAUUCAUUGUAUAAGAGCCUAGGCACCAAACUUGGGCUUUGUGGAUCACAGUGAUUUUCCAGUCACCUAAAGGUAGGUGCUGUGACACUCAGCUUUGCAAUGCCUAAAACUCUUUGUGGAUCCCACCCUAUGUCUUUAAGGCAUAACUAUUACUGUACUGUACUGCUAACACUACAGCCCUAGAACACAUAUAAAAGGGAUGAUGGCCAGACUUGUGUGGAAUAUUACGCCAAGACUGAAAAGAUCCUGCUGCUGCAAAGGAACCCUCUUCCCCCCCUAAAAAACAAAUACACAGAACCAAAAAACCUACUGUCUUCAUAUUCAUAGAUAUAGGGGUGGAGAGAGUAGGAGGUUUAAUACAAAAAUCCUGGCAGCACCAUUGUCAUUUUGUCAGGCAAUCACUGAGUUUUACAGAUGGGAAAUCAGAAGCACAGCAAAGGUAGUUUGCCCAAGGUCGCACAUCAAAGCAGAGGCAGAGUUCGGAACAAAAUCCUGUUCUUUGGUACAGUCAUUAGACAAGAGCUUUUCUGUAGAAUCUCAGAGUUAUGAACUGACCGGUCAGCCACACACCUCAUUUGGAACUGGAAGUAUGCAAUCAGGCGGCAGCAGAGA
This is a non-coding RNA of Chrysemys picta bellii (western painted turtle), 2014 nucleotides long. The record is from RefSeq and is a predicted model, not a curated record. NCBI's taxonomy places the organism in Eukaryota, Metazoa, Chordata, Testudines, Emydidae.